CCAGAGGAUCGUUGACUUGGGUGAGUAUAGCCUGGAGAGCCAUAAUCCAUUCCUCAGUUUCUUCUCGGCUCUUGGUGGACAUCUACAUGACAGUGCAAUGACAAUCCGUGGUCGGUUGUCCCCGUCGUUGGCGUACAUUAACAGAUGCGUCGGAAGAAGCACCGAGUAACAGUGUCGCCAGGCAGACAGCAGCUUUCGGCCGUUUCGUCGUUUCAUGCAGCCAUAUCGCAAGGACUUUGGGAACGAGAAAUAAUAUGAAUCUUUAGGAAUGGCGGAAGCAUCGUCAUAGAAGAGUUCUUCCUCCUUUGGCGGCUUCACGGUCAAUGCGUCGUCGUACAGUAUGUCUGAAUCUUCACUUUCCCUUCGGCUUUUGCUGUCCUCGUCAGAAGUCGACCGAGUUUGCUGUGCCUUGAGAGCCGCCAUAGAGAAUGUGGAGGCCAAAUCUGAUGCUUUACUCCGAGAUUUUAAUAAGCGAUGCAUAAAUCCUUUUUUCUUCGUCUCCGGAGCCGGUGGUAAAGAAUUUGUAGUUGGAGGGGCGUCGCACUGGUCUUCGGUCAGGGGCUGGUCAAAGUCAGGGACCGAAUCUCUGUUGGGAACAUCGUAAAACUCUUCGGAACCAGAUGAAGCGUCGGACGAAUGGAAAAAAGAUUUAAGAGCAGGUGACAUGUCAAUAUACAUUUCCAUUUGAUGAUUUUCGUAUUCUUUCAUCAGAGACGAAAGUUUCGUAGCAAGUCUUGACCGGUGCUCCAAAGCCAAACGCGAUAGUUUCUCCGACGACAAGGCAUUUUUUGACAGAUAACAUCGUGGUAAUAAUAUCCGCUUUGGGCCAAAGAAGGGCGUCCACCUUCAAGGAAAAACGGAUUCCUAGGCGAUUGAAGAAUUCCAUAGUGUUGGCUUCCAUUAAUUUGGAAGAGGAAAUAGCGGAUGUGUUUAGGAUCGGCAGAGAGUGAAGAAUGUCUUGGCCAUUAGUGUCGAAGGGAGUUACUCUCACACCUGGGAGCUGAAGAAUGGGGAAGUUGAAUGAAAACGACAUUGCGUGAUGAAUUCUUCUCUACAGAACUCCCGUGCGAAUUCGUGAUGGCCCCUUUCACCAUAAAAUUGCUGCAUUUACAUCAGAUCCUCAGUAACGGUAAGCUACGCCCAUCUGAAAUUUCUAAGCCUGUUAUUACGGAAAGUUAAACGCGUUCGGAACUAUCUUUACAACGGGGACAAUACAUAUCGACACUGAGCAUCGAAGGGAAAUGCGACGACUUGUCCUUCAUCCACUUCCAUUUAAAUUUCGUCUACUGCGCUGUACCUUAUCACCCCAAGUAGGAGAAACAGCAAAACUGGUUUUCGUCUACGUUUCACCAUCAAUCUUCUACACCCAGUGCGCGCUGGUGGCAUUUGAAAGAAAAUAAAAAGACAAAUUGAUUUCCUAUUGAUAGCGAUUAUUGUGGCGAGUAACAAAAUAACUCUGGUGACAUACAGAAAAAAGUGUUGGAAAUGAGGUCAUUUUGCCGAAAGAAAUUGCCGAAAGUUUUCGACCAGCAUAUUUUUUUCCACCUCGGUUUCUUAUAAUUUGAUAUCUCAAUUCCGCUUCAUAUUGACUGGUCUGGAGGAACACUGAUACGGUGAGAGAGUAAAAGUUGGUUGGACAGGUCAACAUGUUUAUUGGUUCCCAGUCGCGUCCUGUGUCGUUCCGCAGUAUAAAAAGGGGCCCGAAUUUGAAAGAUUCAUCACCAAUCGUCUUUUGACCGUUCAGUUGCUUAGACAUACAAGUUCUUCUGAAGCUUUCUUGGAAAUCUCAUUCGUCUACAAUGAAAUUUGCAGUGAUUUUUGCCAUCGCUGUGGCAUGCGCUAUGGCUGCGCCGCCAACCACAAGCGCAGGCCAAUCUGCCACUUCCAAUUCCGCAUCCUCAGUCAGCGAUGACGCAGAUGGAGUCGUGAAACGAUCCCCUGCUUCCUCUUUGGUAAACCAAAAUGCCAAGCAGAUUGUUAGGAGACGACCAGUUAGUCUCAUAGACGCUAAUGGCAAACUAGUUGAUCUUGACGACGACGAUUUACAGAUAGUAACCGCGGAUUUGUCUGGACGACAAGUUAGUUUCCAACCUAAACAAAAUGUGGUUAACCGCGUCCCAGUGAGACAAUCCAAUGUAGGAUCUGUCUCCACUUCUGGACAAGCCACUGGUGACAUUAUCUUCGUCAGCGAUGAUAGCAGAGAAAUUGACGACCUAGACGAUCUUGAUGAUCUCGAUGAUUUGGCUAUAAUUUCGCCUAAUCGCUUGAGCUCUUUUCCGUUCGUGAAUGGACAAAAUGCUGCCCGUCUUGUCUCUCAAUCUUCCAUUUUUAAUCCGUCGACUUCCUUUGUCAGAACGCCACUUCGCCCUACGAGAAUGAAGCCAAGAUUCGUUCAGUCGGCUUCGACUUGUACUUGUCCUCCACAACGUGAAUCGGCUUUCCAAUUCUCAAGAUUUCCCCAGCAAUCGUUCAACCGAUUUUCCCAGAUUGGAAGGUUUCCCUUCGUCUCUUCUUUUCCUGGUGUCCAGUUCGUCUUUGACGACUGAUCUAAACUUUAUGUUCUAGAUUUUGGGUUGAGGUUUUUCUUUUAUGGUUUCCCUAUCCAUUAUCAAAUUUUGCACCCUUUGCAUUCUCUUACCCGUUUAGAUUUCAUGGCUUGCAGACGGAAACAAAUAACUUGUUUGAUAUUCUCUCAAAUUUCAAAGAAAUUUUUGUACUGUAGUAAACCGGAGUGUUCGUAUGACAAUAUAAUAAUCUGUAAAGAAAAUUUUUGCCAUGAUUCAUUGCUGAUGUUGAGCAACCUAUGAAACAUCAACGCUAAAGCUUCACAUUGAAAUAAUAACGCUUUAAAAGCAUAAAGAUUUUCUUUUAGUGAUGUGCGAUAAUAAUUAUUGUUCGGAUAUCCCUACUAAAAAAAUAAUCGUUGAUGCAUGGUUUUAAAAGUAGUUUUCUAACUUGCUUAUACGUACUUUGAUUCUGCAUGGAUUUGCUUUUAUUAUUGAUGAACCGAAGGGGUUAAUUGCUGAGGUCAUGUGUCAAAGUGGGAACUUUUAUUUAUUGAUUAUUCUAUUUCAUUUAUUUAUUCUUUUACAUAUUUUUUAACAUUUAAUGCGUAUCGGAUAAGUCAUCGUGAAAAAAUGUGGUAUAAUUAGGAAUUAUAAUGCCACAUUUUAACGUUGUUGAAAAUAAGAAAUUAGUGUGUAAACCUGUGGAUUUGUUAAGCUUUUGUGUCUCUUUACAUGAUACAAUGAUAUAAUGGGAGGGUAUAGAACAUAACUAGAACUUGGUGAAUGUUACUUGUUACGUUAUUUGUGAUACAGUUCCAAAAACACCAGGAAAUUUCGUAGUAUCAAUUAUUUUUGAACUUGAACAGGUAAAAAGUCGGAACUAGUUCCAACACUAUCGUCAACCAUCAAUCUUAUUCGAAAGGUGCUGGUUGCGACAAAGUAAAACGGCAAAUUGAUUUCGUGACGAAAGUUAUUUUUGUUGGCUUGAAAGAUGAAUGAUGAAAUGGCGGCAGUGCGACAAACUGAGCAAAGUGGUGGGAAUGAGGCCAGCAUAUGCAAUCGAAACAAAGAAAUGGCAGGAUAUAUCACUUUACAUUUUUGGUUAUCACAACUUAUUUGCUAGCCUAUAUUCCACCAGCAUACUUUUUUUUUCAUCUUAUAAAGUGAGCGAUGUCUCAAUACCGCUUUAUAGUGACCAGACUUGGGGGACAUUGAUACUAUGCGAGAGUAAAAGUUGGUUGGACAGGUCAGCACGUGAUCAUGUUGGUUUUCGGUUCCUGUAUCGAUCUGUUGUAUAAAAGGGAACAGUAUUUGGUUGAUACAUCAUCAUUCGUCUUCUGACUGUUGAGUUGAAAUUCUUCAGCAUCCUUUUCGUUUACUAUGAAGUUCGCAGUGAUUUUUGCCGCCGCCGUGGCCUGUGUCAUGGCAGGACCCCAAUCCAGCAGCUCCGAGACGUCCGUUAGAAACUACUCGGAUGGAAUUAUGAAAAGAUCCUCUACUUCUACUUUGGGAAACCAAAUCGGCCAGAAUCCUGUUGUAAGAAAACGUCGAGUCAAUGUCUUGGAUGCCAAUGGAAAACUGGUUGAUUUUGACGAUGACGAUUUCCAAAUUAUCACCGCGGAUUUGUCUGGAAGACAAGUUAAUUUCCAACCUAAACAAAAUACCAUUCCUGUUAACCGAUUCCCGAUGAGGCCAUCCAAUGUAGGAUCUGUCUCCACCUCUGGACAGGCCACUGGUGACAUUAUCUUCGUCAGCGACGAUAGCAGAGAAAUUGAUGACCUAGACGAUCUUGAUGAUCUCGAUGAUUUGGCUAUUAUUUCGGCUGAUCGCUUGAGCUCUUUCCCGUUCGUGAAUGGACAAAAUGCUGCCCGUCUUGUCUCUCAAUCUUCCAUUUUUAAUCCGUCGACUUCCUUUGUCAGAACGCCCCUUCGCCCGACGAGAAUGAAGCCAAGAUUCGUUCAGUCGGCUUCGACUUGUACUUGUCCUCCACAACGUGAAUCGGCUUUCCAAUUCUCAAGAUUUCCCCAGCAAUCGUUCAACCGAUUUUCCCAGUUUGGAACGUUUCCCUUCGUCUCUUCCUCUCCUGGUGUUCAGUUCAUCUUUGACGACUAGCUACAAUUGUAUGAACUAAAGUUUCGGUCAAGGUUCUCCUUUUAUAUCGUUUCCCUAUCCAUUUAAAGGCCUACUAUCCAUUUAUUGUAACCAAAUUUGGCUUUCAAUGCAUUAUCUUAUUUGUUUUCAGAUGAAGAACAAAUCAACAAAUAAAAAACAUGCUUGUUA
RNA transcript from Daphnia pulicaria, 4787 nucleotides. RefSeq lists it as uncharacterized. The transcript is spliced from 14 exons. The record is from RefSeq and is a predicted model, not a curated record. NCBI's taxonomy places the organism in Eukaryota, Metazoa, Arthropoda, Branchiopoda, Diplostraca, Daphniidae.